Molecule: long non-coding RNA, 892 nt
Organism: Leopardus geoffroyi (Geoffroy's cat)
Lineage: Eukaryota; Metazoa; Chordata; Mammalia; Carnivora; Felidae
Exons: 3
Source: RefSeq, a predicted model, not a curated record
UCUUUUUUUUUUUUUUUUUUUUUUUCCUCUUCCCUCAAAUGAAAAAAGGAGGACCAUUAGCUAGGUGAUUAGCCCUAGGUGGGAAACGAAUCGUCUCAAACCAGAAUACUAACUUUUUGAGGAAGUCUGUGGAAGUUCUAAAGACCCACCCCAUCCCAUGACCUUUAAUUCUUUUUAGUUCUGCCACAGGGAAGCAGCCAGCGACUAAUAAAAGAUUUGAUCUUGCCAUAAUUUCCCAAGCAGGAAUGGACAAGGAACCCAAUUCUGGACAAAGGGAGAGUUUGUGGAGGCUUUUGGAAGAGAAUGUAGUAACUCUAAUAUUAUACUCAACAGACAAAGAAACAGACAAAAAUCUUCUCCGUGGGGGUUGCUAUGGCUUUGGAAGAAAAACCACCUGUAAAGAAAAAUGUAAGAUAGGAAAAGAUGCAUUUCUCACUCCCAUCCUUCCUCAGUUUCUUCCCUCUCCCUGCCUUAAUAUAUAUGUUGAGGAGUUGCAUUAUAAUAAUGGCUCAUAAUACACCUUAAAACGCAAAUUAAUAAAGCAGUUAUUACUGCUGAUACCCAGUUCCUGCACAUAAACCACCUGUGUGUCCCUGUGUUCCAGUAAGACUGCAUCUGAAUGGAAUCUACUAGAGACCAGGCCUAUGCUCUUCCCAUUUCCUACAGAGACAAAUGGAUUUCAGGGGCAGGAAUGGCUAGUUCCUGUUGCCCUGUUGCUCAGUUACUUGGUCCUACACACUUACAUCUGCACAGAUUAAAGUAUUACCAGCAAGGAAACUAAGGUUCAGAAUGGAACAUUAUACUUCUUAAGCUCACAGAGUACUGGAGAAGGUGGAAUUCUAACCAUGCGUUGCCUAGGAAAACUGAUGGAGUUUUCCUUAUGCCAUUAAAG